RNAcentral lists this ribosomal RNA (440 nucleotides) under uncultured bacterium. RNAcentral's name for it is "partial 16S ribosomal RNA". It matches the Rfam family "Bacterial small subunit ribosomal RNA", at positions 338 to 795 of the family's 1533-position model. The record is from RNAcentral.
ACUACGGGAGGCAGCAGUGGGGAAUAUUGCACAAUGGGGGAAACCCUGAUGCAGCGACGCCGCGUGAGUGAAGAAGUAAUUCGUUAUGUAAAGCUCUAUCAGCCGGGAAGAAAAUGACGGUACCUGAGUAAGAAGCUCCGGCUACAUACGUGACAGCAGCCGCGGGAAUACGUAGGGGGCAAGCGUUAUCAGGAUUUACUGGGUGUAAAGGGAGCGUAGGCGGCAGUGCAAGUCUGGAGUGAAAGGCGGGGGCUCAACCCCCGGACUGCUCUGGAAACUGUCCGGCUGGAGUGCAGGAGAGGUAAGUGGAAUUCCUAGUGUAGCGGUGAAAUGCGUAGAUAUUAGGAGGAACACCAGUGGCGAAGGCGGCUUACUGGACUGUAACUGACGUUGAGGCUCGAAAGCGUGGGUAGCGAACAGGAUUAGAUACCCUUGUAGUC